UAUAAUAGAAGUUUCCAACAUUGAAGGACUAUAAUAGCCAACUCUACCAACUUGCAAGUUGCUAGACGUUAUUUGUAUACAUACUUAAUAUAACAACAUUAAAUUAGUGUAAGAUCCAACACCUAGAUUACUAUAUGAAGGACCAAAGAAAUGACAUCGAAGAGAUUUGAAUUCAAACAUUGUAUUGAAAAUGUUUAAGUUGGAUAUGAAAUUAAUAUCUCCCCUCCUUUAAUACCAUAUUAAACUACGUAUAAAACUAAAAGCUUGAGUGGAUAGGUUAGGGUAAUCUUAUUGCAUUUAACAUACUUUUAUCAAUUCUAACUCCUUUUGCUCCCCAUUCCUUUAAAUCAUGUUGUUUCAAUGGCUUCUCCAAGUUCUUUUGCCCUUUCCAACUCCUAAAACAAUUAAAGAGGUGUUUAGCAAAAGAGUCGAAAGAGUAAGUGUUGUUUGACAUAACUAGUCCAUGAUCCCAUGACUAAAAACACAUCAAUUUUACGUCAUAUUAACUCCUUUCACUAUAGGCUCUAGGAGUUCAUAACUCCACUCCUACUAAACAAACUUAAUGUUUUUCUCCCUUUUAUGCAAACGUUUGGUGUGCAAAUUAGUACAAACAUACAAGCAAGCAUAGGGCAGUAUCAAAUCUUGAAAACUAUGAGUUUCCUUUUAACUGUGCAAGCAUACCUACAAGAAGAAAAGUGAAAAUGGAUGUAGUUGAUGUUUUCUUUUUUACCUUGAUUAGUUGGGAGAAAUGCGACAAAUGGAGGACUCGAACUGGAUUUGGUCUCGGAUAAUCGUCACUCCAACGAGCUUAUGCAUUUCAG
Molecule: long non-coding RNA, 821 nt
Filed under: Cucumis sativus (cucumber)
Lineage: Eukaryota; Viridiplantae; Streptophyta; Magnoliopsida; Cucurbitales; Cucurbitaceae
Description: long non-coding RNA (CSAT_LNC000420)
Source: RNAcentral